This 426-nucleotide ribosomal RNA is filed under the name uncultured bacterium. RNAcentral's name for it is "partial 16S ribosomal RNA". It matches the Rfam family "Bacterial small subunit ribosomal RNA", at positions 354 to 796 of the family's 1533-position model. The record is from RNAcentral.
GUGAGGAAUUUUCCGCAAUGGGCGAAAGCCUGACGGAGCAAUGCCGCGUGAAGGAUGAAGGCCUAUGGGUUGUAAACUUCUUUUCUCAGAAAAGAAUUAUGACGGUAUCUGAGGAAUAAGCAUCGGCUAACUCUGUGCCAGCAGCCGCGGUAAGACAGAGGAUGCAAGCGUUAUCCGGAAUGAUUGGGCGUAAAGCGUCUGUAGGUUGUUCAAAAAGUAUUCUGUCAAAGAUUAGGGCUUAACCCUAGAUAGGCAGAAUAAACUUUUAAGCUAGAGUUUGGUAGAGGCAGAGGGAAUUCCCGGUGGAGCGGUGAAAUGCGUAGAUAUCGGGAGGAACACCAAAGGCGAAGGCACUCUGCUGGGCCAAUACUAACACUGAGAGACGAAAGCGAGGGGAGCAAAUGGGAUUAGAAACCCCUGUAGUCC